Molecule: ribosomal RNA, 440 nt
Filed under: uncultured bacterium
Lineage: Bacteria
Description: bacterial SSU rRNA
Rfam family: Bacterial small subunit ribosomal RNA
Source: RNAcentral
CUACGGGAGGCAGCAGUGGGGAAUAUUGGACAAUGGGCGAAAGCCUGAUCCAGCCAUGCCGCGUGAGUGAUGAAGGCCCUAGGGUUGUAAAGCUCUUUCACCGGUGAAGAUAAUGACGGUAACCGGAGAAGAAGCCCCGGCUAACUUCGUGCCAGCAGCCGCGGUAAUACGAAGGGGGUUAGCGUUGCUCGGAAUCACUGGGCGUAAAGCGCACGUAGGCGGAUUGUUAAGUCAGGGGUGAAAUCCUGGAGCUCAACUCCAGAACUGCCUUUGAUACUGGCGAUCUUGAGUCCGGGAGAGGUGAGUGGAAUUGCGAGUGUAGAGGUGAAAUUCGUAGAUAUUCGCAAGAACACCAGUGGCGGAGGCGGCUCACUGGCCCGGUACUGACGCUGAGGUGCGAAAGCGUGGGGAGCAAACAGGAUUAGAAACCCGUGUAGUCC